RNAcentral lists this small RNA (174 nucleotides) under Arabidopsis thaliana (thale cress). Its description in RNAcentral is "ATSL220110". Lineage: Eukaryota; Viridiplantae; Streptophyta; Magnoliopsida; Brassicales; Brassicaceae. The record is from RNAcentral.
UUAUGAAAAAAUCAAGUUUGAGAACUAGGUUUUGUGUUUAUUGAUCUAGUUUACUUAGUCAUAUUCACUAAGUCGUCAAUAUGGUAUGCUUUCAACAAUAACAUAGUAAUUUGAAUGCCUCGUACAUUUUAGGCGAUUUUCUAUUACAAUGUUUUGGUAGAGAAUACGUAUUUG